This 73-nucleotide transfer RNA is filed under the name Bacteroidales bacterium. RNAcentral's name for it is "tRNA-Phe". It matches the Rfam family "tRNA". From Rfam's summary of the family: Transfer RNA (tRNA) molecules are approximately 80 nucleotides in length. Their secondary structure includes four short double-helical elements and three loops (D, anti-codon, and T loops). The record is from RNAcentral. Lineage: Bacteria; Pseudomonadati; Bacteroidota; Bacteroidia; Bacteroidales.
GGCGUUGUAGCUCAGUUGGUAGAGCAGCAGACUGAAAAUUUGCGUGUCCCCGGUUCGAUUCCUGGCAAUGCCA